CUAGAGUCUUUGUAGAAGGGGGGUAGAAAUUCCAGGUGUAGCGGUGAAAUGCGUAGAAGAUCUGGAGGAAAUACCGGUGGCGAAGGCGGCCCCCUGGACAAAGACUGACGCUCAGGUGCGAAAGCGUGGGGAGCAAACAGGAUUAGAUACCCUGGUAGUCCACGCCGUAAACGAUGUCCAUUUUGGAGGCUGUGUCCUUUGAGACGUGGCUUCCGGAGCUAACGCGUUAAAUCGACCGCCUGGGGAGUACGGCCGCAAGGUUAAAACUCAAAUGAAUUUGACGGGGGCCCGCACAAGCGGUGGAGCAUGUGGUUU
Molecule: ribosomal RNA, 315 nt
Filed under: uncultured Aeromonas sp.
Lineage: Bacteria; Pseudomonadati; Pseudomonadota; Gammaproteobacteria; Aeromonadales; Aeromonadaceae
Description: bacterial SSU rRNA
Rfam family: Bacterial small subunit ribosomal RNA
Source: RNAcentral